Molecule: long non-coding RNA, 1185 nt
Filed under: Heterocephalus glaber (naked mole-rat)
Lineage: Eukaryota; Metazoa; Chordata; Mammalia; Rodentia; Bathyergidae
Description: lncRNA (ENSHGLG00000025779.2)
Source: RNAcentral
AUUCUUUCAAACUACAGUGCAGAACUUCUCAAUGUGCGUCCCUAAUGGGAAGGGAAUGGUCUUCAGCUGGGAAAUGGAAGAAGGUGAGCCCAAGAAAAUGGCAGAAGUCCCUGGGAAAGCCUAGGCUUAGUCUUCAUGAGCACUGCAACUUCACUUGUUAAAGAUGUGGUGAUCUUGAUGUGUGGUCAUUCAAUAAAGCUCUAGGAAUGGACGAGGAAGAAAGGAGGCAGAGAAGGGAUGCUGAGGGAACUGGACACAGAAUGGGAGCCCCAAUCCCAAAAGCAGGAAGCACUCAGGGUGCUACAGCAGAUCAGCCCUUGGGACACCUCACUCGUCAGCCCUGUCCACCAGGGAGUGUGAAUCUGAGCAGAGCGAAUUAUGUCUGGCCGGACUGUGGGAAGAGGGACAUGUCCUGGCACCAAGACUUCAAGUUCUUCUUCAGAGUGUGACAUACAAGAGAUCAGGGUCGACAGCGAAGACUCAAGGUGACGAGGCAGGAAAGGACCGCUCAGACAUCAGGCUGAAACACACACAUGAUGAGAAGACUUUUCUUAAAACCACCGGGAUGUCAAACUUGUUCGGGGAGAAGUUCGGCCUGAUGAGCACGCCACUCUUGGGUGGGCCACGUGUGACAGGAUGAAAAUCAUGCUGUUCUUGAGAGGAAGAGAAGUGCAACCACUAAAAAGCCAAACCAACAUGCUACUGCAGGGAACUGGCGUGGCUUGGAUGGCCCCCAGAAAGACACAUGAAGCCCUAACACCCGCUAUCUCAGAAUGGGACCUGACUUGGAAAUGCAGCACUGUAGAAGCAAUCAAGUUAAGAAUGAGGUCGUCAGCCAGGAGACCGAGCCGGUGAGGACUCCCAGGCUUGCCCACCAGCCUCCAGCUUGGCCACACAGGCGCCUGCAACAAGAGACACCACCCAACCCCCCACCCCACCCCCGCCUCUUGGCUGUACAGCUACGUGGAUCCACACUACAGAGGCACAGGAGAGCAUAAAGGCCAUUGUUCUGAGGUGCAGAAGUGAACAACAGAGAGAGGGGCUCUCUCAGGCUCCCUGAUGAAAACUGAAGCCCACUGGAAAAAUGAAGAGAAUCUCUGCAAUAAAGGCACACCAGACCACCAAGCUUGGUAAAUUGGAGGGAUCAUCACCUCCCAUCAGAACCUGGACUAUCUUCAGGGGAAG